Macrobrachium nipponense is the source of this 2060-nucleotide long non-coding RNA. RefSeq lists it as uncharacterized. The transcript has 3 exons. Lineage: Eukaryota; Metazoa; Arthropoda; Malacostraca; Decapoda; Palaemonidae. The record is from RefSeq and is a predicted model, not a curated record.
UGUAUCAGACCGGCGACGGUCCUCGUUGCUCCUCCAAUCCCACCCGGCUCUUUCAAGCAUAUAGUAGAGGACGUUCCUCCAUUGCUUCCCUGCUCUACUCGAUUCUCGUUAAUGAUGGAUCGCCGUCAAUUAUGUCUACUGUUAUUAAACUCGUCCGCUAAAUUAGCAAAGGUUUGGAGAUAGACAGAGUGGCAGAUAAGAUCCAGGAAUUUCCAUAAGGAGCAAUAAACCUCAUUGUCAGAGAAAGAAAUACCGAGUUAAUUGAACUCCAAGUAAGGUCUUUGUGGCGUCGUGGAAAGUAAGGAAUCUCCUUUACCCCUUGAGGAGUAUGCAGCGAGUGCAUCUAUCCUGCCUAAAUAUUCUCUAUCAAAUAAAAUAUCACUGGAACAGUACAGUAACAUCAGAGCAUCAGAGUGACAAUUGGAAAAAGCGCAAAGGUGUGGACAGGAAAGUAAGGAGACCGUUUUCAUCUGCGGACGGUAGAGAAAAUGCAGAAAGUUCAGUGACACCCAAGUUGUGGACAGGAAAGGAAGGCUCGUGGACGGUAGAGAAGGUGAAGAAGUGCAGCAACACGCCAGAGCAACGAGUUCUGUGGACAGUUUAAGACCUUAAUCUUCAGAUGAAGAAAACUUACGGUCUCGUAUCUCCAGAAAUUAAACCAAUUAGAACUAUCUUAAUGUUAUGAUAUCGAACUAUAAUUGGGAUAGAAAAUGUAAUUACCACGCAGAAAUAUAAAAAAAUACUGUAAAGCUUUCAUUAUUGGUAGCUUUUAAUCUAGAUUUCAGGAGCAACAAAUCAGGUUAAAAAUAUAUCCACAAAUUUUAAAAACUGCCCCUGGAUUACCAGCUAUUUAUUCUAUUCUUCACCGCUGCUUCAUGCUUGUCCCAAUUCCUCUUGCUCAUGCAACUUUGAAAAUGCUAAAAAUGUGGAAUGUAAAAAAUUAAAGAGCCAUUAAACUUUAAAAGAAAAAAUUACAAUGUAAAGUGAGGCAUCCACAAAUAUUUAAAACAUCCCUGGAUUACCAGCCAAUAAAUAAAUAUUGUCUAUGUUCUUUAUUGCUGCUCUUCUUACAUGUCCCAGUUCCUCUCGAUGAUCAUGCCACUCUGAAAAAGCAAAAAAGUGGAAUAUAAAAAAAAUAGAAUAGCAAAAAAAAUUGGAAUAUAAAAAAUAAAUACCCAUUCGACAGAAAAAGUAGGAAUUGCAAAAAAGUCUAAUAUAAAAAAAUGAACCAUUCAACAGAAAAUGUAGGAAAUUAAAAAAAAAUAUUGAAGAGCUAGUCAACAAUCUUCUAUCAACUUAAGCAUUCUUUUAGAGCAAAAAUGAAAAUUUCAAAUUACCAUGUAAAGUGAGGCACCCAAAACCUUUUUUGAAACCUGCCUUGGAUUAUCGACCAAUAAAAAUUGUAUAGUUCUUCACUGCUGCUCUUGCAUGUCCCAAAUCUUCACUAGCGCCGCGAGUUCGAUUCUUGGGCAUUCCACUGGGCCGUUAGAAAUGUGUGUGUCUGCUGUUAAAAGUUCUCUCGCGACGUGGUUCAUUAGUCAGGUAAAACUGUUGGCCCCGUUGCUGAGAAUAAUCACUGGUUCCAUGCAACGUAAAAACACCAUACAAACAAAACUUCGAUACUGCUUUUCCAUGCCCCAAUUCCUUGUCGAUGCCCAUGCACAUCUGGAACAUACAAAAAAAUACCCAUUCAACAUUCUUCCAUUAAUGCAAAGUACCCUUAUUGAAAAACAAAGAUAAAUAAAAAGACAAUAAAUUACCAUGCAAAUUGAGGCAUUCAGAAAUGUUUAAACAUUGCCUUGGAUUACCGGCCAAUAAAAAUUGUCUAAUUCUUCAAUGCUGCUCUUGCUUGUCCCGACUCUUCUAGAAUUAUGACCCUGCAACCCUGGAAAAUGCAAAACUAUUUUGCCAUUCAGCAAUCUUCCAUUGAUGUAUGAAAGAAAAAAAUAAAUUCAAAUUACUACCAUGCAAAGUGAGGCUCUCAGACAUUUUUUCGAAACAGGCCUAAAAAUAUUAUAGUUCUUCACUGCUGCUAUUGCUUGUUCCAAUUCCUGCCGAUG